CCACACUAUAUGUCAACAAUAUCCAAGUAACAGGAUCCCUUGAGACAUGACCCCUCCAGCCACAGUCAUCUGAAUACAGUGCAAAUUGACUCAUGACUCAUGGUAUGACCACACUCAUGGCUGGCUACAAAUGAGAGGAAAAAAGAAUGUCCUGAUAGUAGCAUGUGAGGAACUGCAUCAGGUUAUCCCAGUGAGAAGAUCAAGGAUGGUCGCUGUCUGCCUUUUCUUCAUUGUUCCAGACAUAAGAGCCAGUGUAGAGAUAAUCAGCCAAUUACUGGGCAAGAAACUAAGCCCAGAAGAACUGAACUCAAGUCAUUAAGCACACAUCCUUCCAGACCAUGAAAGAUAAUAAAAUGAGCAACUAUUCCUUACCA
Molecule: long non-coding RNA, 374 nt
Organism: Homo sapiens (human)
Lineage: Eukaryota; Metazoa; Chordata; Mammalia; Primates; Hominidae
Exons: 4
Source: RefSeq, a predicted model, not a curated record